GCCAGGGUAGCUCAGUUGGUAGAGCGGCGGUAUCGUAAACCGUAGGUCAGGGGUUCGACUCCCCUCUCUGGCU
This 73-nucleotide transfer RNA is filed under the name bacterium. RNAcentral's name for it is "tRNA-Thr". It matches the Rfam family "tRNA". Rfam says of the family: Transfer RNA (tRNA) molecules are approximately 80 nucleotides in length. Their secondary structure includes four short double-helical elements and three loops (D, anti-codon, and T loops). The record is from RNAcentral.